GAUGAACGCUGGCGGCGUGCCUAAUACAUGCAAGUCGGACGGAUGUAGCAAUACAUUAGUGGCGAACGGGUGAGUAACACGUAGGUGACCUGCCCUAAAGAGGGGAAUACCACUUCGAAAGGAGUGACAAAACCGCAUAAACUUAUAGAGAUUAGAAGGCUAUAAGGAAAAGAGCGAUCUACUUUAGGAGGGGCCUGCGGCCCAUCAGCUAGUUGGUAGAGGUAACGGCCUACCAAGGCGAAGACGGGUAGGGGACCUGAGAGGGUGAUCCCCCACAAUGGAACUGAAACACGGUCCAUACACCUGCGGGUGGCAGCAGUAGGGAAUAUUGCUUAAUGGGCGAAAGCCUGAAGCAGCAACGCCGCGUGGACGAAGAAGGCCUUCGGUUGUAAGUUACUUUAUAUGGGAUGAGGAAGGACGAGUACCAUAUGAAUAAGUACUCGGCUAACUAACGUG
RNAcentral lists this ribosomal RNA (456 nucleotides) under uncultured bacterium. Its description in RNAcentral is "bacterial SSU rRNA". It matches the Rfam family "Bacterial small subunit ribosomal RNA", at positions 28 to 507 of the family's 1533-position model. The record is from RNAcentral.